Molecule: long non-coding RNA, 556 nt
Organism: Lagopus leucura (white-tailed ptarmigan)
Lineage: Eukaryota; Metazoa; Chordata; Aves; Galliformes; Phasianidae
Exons: 3
Source: RefSeq, a predicted model, not a curated record
CAUUCCUUUGCAUUUUGCACAUGUUGGACAAUGCCAGGGCCAGCUGGAGUCCACCACGCACUACGCGCUGAGGCAGGGCCUGGACCUGCAGGCGGCACGGAGCGCGGAGGAUCGGCUGCCACCCGCGUUCCGGGCAAGGGAACAGAGUGCAGUGAACAACAAUUUCUCAUUUUCUUCUCAUGACAACAGACACUGUCUACAUAAUGUAGGAGAGUAUUUUGAUUUGGGUUUGGGCCGAAGGAAGGUGGAACCACACAGAAGGCAGCAGAACUCACAGAAUUUCUUCCAGUGGGCUUCAGAACCGGUUAGAAGGAGCGAAGAUGGCUUAACCACUUAUCAGAUAUCAUUUGUGAAAUACAAGAGCACGAUCUCUAGGCAGCACCCAAAGCACUUCUCAGAAAAAUCCUGCACUGACAAAGCCUGUUCCUCAGAAUGAAAACAACAUGCAGCCAAAUAAAUUAUCUUAAUUACAAUACCCUCUUUGUAGCACUGAUUUAUCAUCAUCAGAGCCUUUUCUGGAGAUCUCAACUACUUGUCACUCAAAGGAUGAAAUAAA